CCUCCGCUCAGCCGCCACAGUGAUUGUCGUCAAGUCUGCCACAGGAGGAUAUUUUUGAGGUUAACCUGCUCCCUUUCCUCGCAGGUUGUUUAUCAAUGUUUGUGUAAUUUUAUUAACUCCUAGAAUUUUCGCAUGUGUUAGAAGUAUUUAUUUGAUUAUGGUUUGUAAUAUUAUUAUAAUGUUGGACCUGUAAACGUAUAAUGAUAUGCAUGUUUGAUGGAUUGGAUGAGGGAGCUGAGCUCCCAUUUA
This is a long non-coding RNA of Hevea brasiliensis (rubber tree), 249 nucleotides long. RefSeq lists it as uncharacterized. Lineage: Eukaryota; Viridiplantae; Streptophyta; Magnoliopsida; Malpighiales; Euphorbiaceae. The transcript has 2 exons. The record is from RefSeq and is a predicted model, not a curated record.